Molecule: ribosomal RNA, 494 nt
Filed under: uncultured bacterium
Lineage: Bacteria
Description: partial 16S ribosomal RNA
Rfam family: Bacterial small subunit ribosomal RNA
Source: RNAcentral
GACGAACGCUGGCGGCGCGCUUAACACAUGCAAGUCGAACGGAAAGGCCUGCCUUCCCUUGUGGAUUGCGGGUACUCGAGUGGCGAACGGGUGAGUAACACGUGAGUGAUCUGCCCCCAACUUGGGUAUAAGCCUGGGAAACUGGGUCUAAUUCCCGAUAGGACUGCAGGGUGGUGCCUGUGGUGGAAAACGAUUUUCUAGUGGUUGGGGAUGAGCUCGCGGCCUAUCAGCUUGUUGGUGGGGUAAUGGCCUACCAAGGCGGCGACGGGUAGCCGGCCUGAGAGGGUGGACGGCCACAUUGGGACUGAGAUACGGCCCAGACUCCUACGGGAGGCAGCAGUGGGGAAUAUGGCACAAUGGGCGGAAGCCUGAUGCAGCGACGCCGCGUGGGGGAUGACGGCCUUCGGGUUGUAAACUCCUUUCGACCGCGAGGAAGCCACCUGGUUGGAAGGGUGGUGACGGUAGUGGUAGAAGAAGCACCGGCUAACUACGUG